CCUACGGGAGGCAGCAGUGAGGAAUAUUGGUCAAUGGGCGUAAGCCUGAACCAGCCAAGCCGCGUGAGGGUUGAAGGUUCUAUGGAUCGUAAACCUCUUUUAUAAGGGAAUAAAGUGUGGGACGUGUCCUAUUUUGUAUGUACCUUAUGAAUAAGGAUCGGCGAACUCCGUGCCAGCAGCCGCGGUAAUACGGAGGAUCCGAGCUUUAGCCGGAUUUAUUGGGUUUAAAGGGUGCGUAGGCGGCCUUUUAAGUCAGCGGUGAAAGUCUGUGGCUCAACCAUAGAAUUGCCGUUGAAACUGGGGGGCUUGAGUGUGGUUGAGGCAGGCGGAAUGCGUGGUGUAGCGGUGAAAUGCUUAGAUAUCACGCAGAACCCCGAUUGCGAAGGCAGCCUGCGAAGCCAUGACUGACGCUGAUGCACGAAAGCGUGGGGAUCAAACAGGAUUAGAUACCCCGGUAGUC
RNAcentral lists this ribosomal RNA (460 nucleotides) under uncultured bacterium. RNAcentral's name for it is "partial 16S ribosomal RNA". It matches the Rfam family "Bacterial small subunit ribosomal RNA", at positions 338 to 795 of the family's 1533-position model. The record is from RNAcentral.